AGUGAACGCUGGCGGUAGGCCUAACACAUGCAAGUCGAACGGCAGCACAGUAAGAGCUUGCUCUUACGGGUGGCGAGUGGCGGACGGGUGAGGAAUACAUCGGAAUCUACUUUUUCGUGGGGGAUAACGUAGGGAAACUUACGCUAAUACCGCAUACGACCUACGGGUGAAAGCAGGGGAUCUUCGGACCUUGCGCGAUUGAAUGAGCCGAUGUCGGAUUAGCUAGUUGGCGUGGUAAAGGCCCACCAAGGCGACGAUCCGUAGCUGGUCUGAGAGGAUGAUCAGCCACACUGGAACUGAGACACGGUCCAGACUCCUACGGGAGGCAGCAGUGGGGAAUAUUGGACAAUGGGCGCAAGCCUGAUCCAGCCAUACCGCGUGGGUGAAGAAGGCCUCCGGGUUGUAAAGCCCUUUUGUUGGGAAAGAAAAGCAGCAGGUUAAUACCCCGCUGUUCUGACGGUACCCAAAGAAUAAGCACCGGCUAACUUCGUG
RNAcentral lists this ribosomal RNA (492 nucleotides) under uncultured bacterium. RNAcentral describes it as "partial 16S ribosomal RNA". It matches the Rfam family "Bacterial small subunit ribosomal RNA", at positions 29 to 507 of the family's 1533-position model. The record is from RNAcentral.